UGCGGAAGGAUCAUUACCGAGUGAGGGCCCUUUGGGUCCAACCUCCCACCCGUGUUUAUUUACCUCGUUGCUUCGGCGGGCCCGCCUUAACUGGCCGCCGGGGGGCUCACGCCCCCGGGCCCGCGCCCGCCGAAGACACCCCCGAACUCUGCCUGAAGAUUGUCGUCUGAGUGAAAAUAUAAAUUAUUUAAAACUUUCAACAACGGAUCUCUUGGUUCCGGCAUCGAUGAAGAACGCAGCGAAAUGCGAUACGUAAUGUGAAUUGCAAAUUCAGUGAAUCAUCGAGUCUUUGAACGCACAUUGCGCCCCCUGGUAUUCCGGGGGGCAUGCCUGUCCGAGCGUCAUUGCUGCCCUCAAGCCCGGCUUGUGUGUUGGGCCCCGUCCUCCGAUUCCGGGGGACGGGCCCGAAAGGCAGCGGCGGCACCGCGUCCGGUCCUCGAGCGUAUGGGGCUUUGUCACCCGCUCUGUAGGCCCGGCCGGCGCUUGCCGAUCAACCCAAAUUUUUAUCCAGGUUGACCUCGGAUCAGGUAGGGAUACCCGCUGAACUUAAGCAUAUCAAUAA
RNAcentral lists this ribosomal RNA (562 nucleotides) under Penicillium expansum. RNAcentral's name for it is "eukaryotic LSU rRNA". The stretch from base 192 to 344 matches the Rfam family "5.8S ribosomal RNA". The record is from RNAcentral. Lineage: Eukaryota; Fungi; Ascomycota; Eurotiomycetes; Eurotiales; Aspergillaceae.